RNAcentral lists this unclassified non-coding RNA (1413 nucleotides) under Hevea brasiliensis (rubber tree). The record is from RNAcentral. Lineage: Eukaryota; Viridiplantae; Streptophyta; Magnoliopsida; Malpighiales; Euphorbiaceae.
UUCAAUUUAAUAUAAAAUCGAACCAGCUGAUUCUAGUUCAAUUCAAUAUCAAUUUUGGUCAAUCAGAUUUUGAUCAGUUCACUCUUAUUUCAGUUCUGGUCUGAACCAACCCAGCUCCAAUUCCAAACCAGACCGCAGCCAGAUUUAACUACAAUAAAUACACAAUCAUUUUCCAUUCACCAAUAAGUUAUUGCGCUAAUACGUUAUAGAAGGGUAUUGCAUCAGUCCCAACAAAUUACAAGAGGAGCAGAAAAAGUAGGGAGUUUAGGGUUCAUACAAAUGCCAAUCACCAUCAGAACAAGUAACAAAAAGAUUGGCUAUUUGCUUCCCAUUUUGUGAACCUAUAAUGCACAAGCCCUGUCCAUACGGCACAAUCUUGUAUUAUUCAUCCUUGAUGGGAAUCAUUCCUGCUGUUUCAGAUUAGCAAGCUCAUCCAAAACACCUUUGACAGGCUCUGUAAGCAUGUUUUUCUUUGACUAGAAGGAAAGAUGAGAAAUAAAUAUAUUAUAUUAAAGAAAGAAAAAUCAAGAACACAUUACACAAUUCAAGGCAGCUUUGCAACCUCAAAUAGCAGCUUAAAGAAAGCAAUACAUGGGACGCAAAAUUAUGAUAAUCAGACAAGGAAUAAUGACUUUUUGAGUGCCUAAUCUUUUGGAAUUUUAUUUGUCAGCCUGAAUUAAUUUUCUGUAAUUGAGCGAUUGCAUGGAACAGAAAAGAAAAAAAAAAUUGCAACCAAAUUCCUUGCAAUUUGCAAUUUUUUCAGUGACAGAGUACCAUAAUGGAUUAAAAUAACAAAAUAAUUAGCUUCUUUUGCCAUAUCAACAUAGAUAAAAGAAGACGAACUAUUUUAAUUAAAAAGGAAAGUCAUUUAUGUAAUCCUCACCAGAAAUCUCAUCACCUCCAUCCAUUUCCUUCCUACUUUACUCUUUUUCUAACCCUAAAUCCAAUUAAAAUAAUUCCUUUUUUCAAAAUGGGUUAUGAAUGUUAUAUGUUUUAAGACAAAGACAAAGUUGGAAUUCUCUUUUUUUUUCAAAUUUCUUAAAUUACAAUCUUCUGCAAGCAUGAGGGUCAAAAUGACAACAGAUUAUACACAUACACACUUUUUAUGAACCUGCUAUCAUGACAUGUAAAUCCUUUUUUAGCACUAUUUUAAUCCAUAAUGGCACUUCUAAUCACUAGAAAAGUGAAAAAAUGCUUGACCACAAAUUUCUCUAUUCAAACACUUAAUUGCAUAAAAAUAUAGUUUAGGUACUCAAAUAGAAAAUCUCAAAAAAAAAAGGUAUUCAAAAUGCCACAAUUCCAUUCAACGAUCAAUAACAUAAGAAUAACUUUAUCACCUCCAACUUAACUCUUCCAUUAAAGGCACAAACCUGAAAUAGCAUGUGCACAUGCACAUAGAGGGGGGGGGGGGGG